This is a long non-coding RNA of Dicentrarchus labrax (European seabass), 1635 nucleotides long. NCBI's taxonomy places the organism in Eukaryota, Metazoa, Chordata, Actinopteri, Moronidae. The record is from Ensembl.
CUCAUUGAUCCCUCAUUUUAGUAUGCCCUGCCCCCAACAUCCUGUUUAAUCAGGAAAUAUAAUCACAUUCAGGAAGUAAGAUUCUUCCAAAACUGGCACUUCACUGGAAUUCAAAAUGCCAUUAAACAUUUUUAUACCACGUGUAAGUAACAUGAAGUCACUGCAAGUCCACUUGUUUCCUGCAGAGCCGAGCGGUGACGGACGUGAUUAAGUUCAUGAGAGCUCAACAAGCUUCUCCACUGUGGUUUGUAUCCAUCAACAGCCAACCUGAUUUGGGGGCUUCAUUUUCCCCAGAGAUGUGUUUGUAGUUUCACCUGCUGAUGGAUUUGAAAAUGGACAAGAAAUUGAUUCCAGACUUUUAAAGCUUCCAAGUUCUUUACAACUUUCAACAAUCCCAGAGUUCACCUGUGCAAUCACAAGUACGCUCUGAAUUCAUUUAAAGAUAAUGUGUGAGGGUUUGGAUUGAAUUAAUUUUUUAGUGAAUGCUACUGAGUUUGUUGUCUUGCUGUUCAUUAGAAUGACUGUUUGGCUUUUGUUUGUAUGGCUGUUUAUUGGUUAUUUGUUUACUGGGGGAUCUGUUGACAUGGUAAGAACUUGAAGGUAACACGGUUGCCUAAUCUUCUAACUUUGUACCUGUUUUCCAAAACAAACAACAGAAAAAAGACUCCACCGUCUGUCUGUUCUGACUGUCUUUCCUCUGCAGGCUUGGGGAGGGUGAGACAGUUCACCUGGACUCUAUGGGGAGAAAGAUGAACUCUUCUGGUCUACCAUCUGCUCACCAGUCCACCUUUGGAACGCUCCCCUGGUCCCGUCAAGCUCUUGGCCUCAUCCUCCCCGACUGAAGAUCAGCCAGAUAACAUUACCUCCUGACCAAUCAGGCGCCUGGAUCCAUACCUCAUCCCACAGCUCUAGAGCCCAGUAUGCCAUACAUGGCUGGAUCCAGAGGCCAAGAUCCAGUACUAACCUGGAAAACAAACAAAAAGCAAACAUGGACAUCCCCAAAAGUAGAAUAUGGACCAUGAAAACUGGAUAGCUUCUUCCAUCAGUAGGACCUCACCUGUACCUGUCACCUGAACACACCACAACACACAACUACACAAUGACAGAGCGAGCUUCGGCAGACUUUUAAACCAAAUAAAAAUUCGAUGCAAAUGUGCCACUAUGUUGCCAGAAGAUCCCAAAAAUAGAAGUAAACGAGAGAAACUGUUCUUUUAAUUUCCUGCAAGAUGCACAGUUUGACCUGUUUCUAAUUUUGUAUGUCCCAACACAUCCAAGGGUUAACCUGCACCUCCCUCUGAUCCCAUCUCUUCUGAAGAAUUCACAACCUCCUGCACUUUUGUGGAUGUCUAUUAGAUUACAUUAGCGGUGGCUUUUCCUCCCAGCCAGACACUUCCUGCCCUCAGGAGAACUAGAGAUAAGAGCCGACUCUCUCAAACACACUUUUGUAGAUACGAAGUGAACAAAUUUCCCUUCUGAGCGCUGUCUGAAAAACAAAAUCCACAACCAACAAAAGAUAGCGGUUCAAAAAACAAACAGUCCUGGCGGUAGGGGACGGCGGUAGCUCCGGGCAGUGUGUGGAGGAGCGCUGUGACCAAACAGUGCAGGGAAGUGGAGAUAAACAAAACAGACAAUUUU